AAAUGAUUCAGCAGUCGAAAGAGAAGGGACGAUUCUACAGGAACCAACACAAGAAGGUUCUGGAAUCCGUCACUGAAGUCACUGAUAUUCGGGCCUUCAUAGAGCAGUCAGAUGAAGCUCAACACGUCUUCUCUGACCUUAAUCCUCCCGUUAAACUCCUGGUCAAUCUGUAAGAGGCCGUCAUAGAGCAGUCAGAUGAAGCUCAACGCGUCUUCUCUGACCUUAAUCCUCCCGUUAAACUCCUGGUCAAUCUGUAAGCACCCCUUUAAUUAAACAUUUCUUAUUUACUCAGCUUCUUAAUUAAAUUUUGGUCAUAAAACCGGUAAUUCUUCGUAAAUAUGUGUCUCUUUAUAUGUGUUUGUUUCUCUGGGUUGUCGAGAGCUGCUAUGCUUGUCGGGUUUAUUGGAUUUUGUUUAUUUCGGGUGACUACUGAGAAAAGUAGAGAAUUAAGUAUUUGGGAAUUGCCUUAAUCUAUUUUUUAGUUGAGUAAAGUUGGGAUGUUGUUCUUUAUAUUCUUUUCUUCUAAUUGAUUUUUGAGAAAAAUAGAGAAUUGGGUAUUUGGGAAUUGCCUUAAUAUACAUUUAAGUUGAGUAAAGUUGAG
RNAcentral lists this long non-coding RNA (601 nucleotides) under Nicotiana benthamiana. Its description in RNAcentral is "long non-coding RNA (NBEN_LNC004769)". The record is from RNAcentral. Lineage: Eukaryota; Viridiplantae; Streptophyta; Magnoliopsida; Solanales; Solanaceae.